AAUUCCCCGUGAAGAUGCGGGGUUCCUGCGGUUAGACGGAAAGACCCCGUGCACCUUUACUGCAACUUUGCACUGGCAAUCGUGUUUGCAUGUGUAGAAUAGGUGGUAGGCAUUGAAGCAGAGGCGCCAGCUUCUGUGGAGCCGCAAUGUGAAAUACCACCCUUAUGAACAUGGUUGUCUAACCGCGGACCGUUAUCCGGUUCCGGGACAGCGCAUGGUGGGCAGUUUGACUGGGGCGGUCGCCUCCCCAAAAGGAAAAGAGGGGCGC
Molecule: ribosomal RNA, 268 nt
Filed under: Hemiselmis tepida
Lineage: Eukaryota; Cryptophyceae; Cryptomonadales; Hemiselmidaceae
Description: partial Bacterial large subunit ribosomal RNA
Rfam family: Bacterial large subunit ribosomal RNA
Source: RNAcentral